GCUUUCCUAUCCUACAGUCGUUACUGUUUAAGAUUAAAUUUUACACGUCAAGCCAUUACAUUGUAUUAUAUUUUAUUGGUGCGAAGCGGAGAACAAAACAAUUGGUGAAUUUUCGUCUUUGUAUCGAAUUUGAAUUACCAGGAUCCAUACAACUAUAUUGAGAGAUUGGAGAGAUUGAACACAAACCGCAGUCAUGAGAUACAGGCUGAUUUACACGUUGCUGACCACGGCGCAAGAACUUCUGUUCGGCAAGAAAUUGUUUUUCGAUUGGCAGCUCGGCGACAACUGGGCGCUGAAGAGCAUGGAUAAAUUGGACAGAGAGUUGGAAGCGGCCGAAAAGGACCGGAAAGAUGUCGACGUCCAGCAGUCAAAUGACUCGAAAAAGUCUGAGUACGUGUACCGUAGGCAGAUCGUCUGGUUCAACACCAUCGGGUUUCUUGUGCUCCACUUGGGCGCCGUUUACGGUCUGUACUUGUUCUUGACAUCGUCGAUGGUGCUCACCAUGUUGUGGACGUUGCUGGUAGCGGGCGCGAGUGCGUUCUCCGUCACCAUGGGUGCUCACAGACUUUAUACGCACAGGACUUUCAAGUGUAACGAUUGGGUGAAAGCCCUGUUGGUGUUUGGGCAGACCGUCGCUGGACAGAAUUGCUUGUAUGUUUGGAUCAGAGACCACCGACAGCAUCACAAGUACAGUGAUACAGUGGCUGACCCGCACAACGCGUCGCGGGGUUUCUUUUUCUCGCACAUCGGAUGGUUGAUGGUGCGUAAACAUCCGGAAGUCAUCGCAAAAGGCAAAAAUAUUGACAUGACCGACAUUGAAAUGGAUCCGUACGCAAUGUUUCAAAAAAAAUAUUACAAAAUACUGUUCACGAUUUUGGCCAUGCUGAUGCCGAUGGUCGUGCCAUUCGUCUUAUGGGGCGAAACCUUGUGGAAUGGCUUCUUCGUGUGCUUCCUGUUUCGGCUGAUGGCGGUUUUGAAUUUGACCUGGCUGGUCAACAGUGCUGCGCAUCUAUACGGCAACAAACCAUUUACCAAUGACAUUAUGCCCGUGGAAAACGUUUACGUGUCCAUGUUCGGGCUGGGCGAGGGCUGGCACAACUAUCACCACUCGUUCCCGUGGGACUACCGGGCCGCCGAGUUCGGCCAGUACUUCAAUCUGACCACCAUGGUGAUCGACUUUUUCGAAGAGAUGGGCUGGGUGUGGGACAAGAAGUACGCGACGCCGGCCAUGGUCCGGAGCCGGGUGACCAAGCGCGGGGAUGGCACGCACUGCAAGUACAGCCGGCCGCAGUCGAAGGAGAACGGUGAACAGUCGGAACCGGUGCCGGAAGACGACUCUUACGAGGAGCUUUUCUGGCUGGAAGAACGGUCGGCCGUGACCGCCGAGCGCGCGGCCGAGGCUCAGAAAGGCUGAACGUCGCCACGAUAAUAUAAUUUAAUAAUAAUAAUUAAUUACUAUUUAUAAUACCUAUCCGUGUGAUAUAAGUCACCAGAGGAUAAUUUUUUUUAGAAACCUUUUUUUUUUCUUAAUUUUAUGUGUGAACAUGUAUAUUAUUAUAUAUCAAUUUACUUAUGUCGGCCACUAAGUGUGGCUCUCUCUCUCUCUCUGUCUCUAUAUCUCUCUCACUCACUCUGUGCAUGUAUACGUAGUAUGUAUAUGAUGGCUAUAUAGGAAUCACGAAAAUUUGUAUAAUAAUAAUGUUGAUGAUGAUAAUAUAUAUGCAGUGAUCAAAUUAGAAAAAUACAAGAAAGACUUUUUUGAAUUGAAAAAAAAAUCAGCAUCCUUCAAAUUGUUGAACUCAAUCUAACUUCUCCCCCUUCCUCGUGGCAUCACACCAAAAAAUCAUUGAACUAAAAACUUUUUACGAUACACACUAGAAAACCAGUAAUAACUAUUUAUGAUCAAUUUGAAUAACAGUAAUUUAUCUACAUUAAUUAUUAAAUAUUUAAAUAAUGUUUAAUAUAAUAAUAUGCACUAUAAUAAUUAAUAGGUAUAUUAAUUUAUAUUUUUUAGAUACAAUACAAUAACUAUGACGCAGUAUCAUAAUUAUAAUAAAUUAAAUUUGAAUACUUAUUCAAUUUAAUUUUAUGAAAUACAAACUAUUAAAAUAAUGCUCUCGAAAAAUAAAAUAAAUAGCGGAGAAGCUUAGCCAAUUCAAGCCAACUGAAUAUAAUAUGUGUGUAUGUGUAUAGUGUAUACAUCGUAAUCUUAUUCAAUAUCAUGAAAUUUCUGCUUUUACCACUUAUUUUAAUGCUAAAAAAUUAUAACAGGUAAACGCUAUAUGGCUUUGAAUAUAACAUAGUAACAAAUAUGAAAUAGGUAAUAAGAUUCUGCAGUCAUUAUCCGAAAAAAAUUUAUAAUAUAUACGUACCAUAUUAUAUUAUAAUGUUAAUAAU
Aphis gossypii (cotton aphid) is the source of this 2397-nucleotide RNA transcript. It is a transcript of the gene named acyl-CoA Delta-9 desaturase, with no coding region annotated. Lineage: Eukaryota; Metazoa; Arthropoda; Insecta; Hemiptera; Aphididae. The record is from RefSeq and is a predicted model, not a curated record. The transcript is spliced from 7 exons.